RNAcentral lists this ribosomal RNA (230 nucleotides) under uncultured bacterium. Its description in RNAcentral is "partial 16S ribosomal RNA". It matches the Rfam family "Bacterial small subunit ribosomal RNA", at positions 562 to 791 of the family's 1533-position model. The record is from RNAcentral.
AAAGGGUGUGUAGGCGGGUAUUUAAGUCAGUGGUGAAAUCUCCGAGCUCAACUCGGAAACUGCCAUUGAUACUAUUUAUCUUGAAUAUUGUUGAGGUAGGCGGAAUAUGUCAUGUAGCGGUGAAAUGCUUAGAUAUGACAUAGAACACCGAUUGCGAAGGCAGCUUGCUAAACAAUUAUUGACGCUGAGGCACGAAAGCGUGGGGAUCAAACAGGAUUAGAUACCCCUGU